Patella vulgata (common limpet) is the source of this 1243-nucleotide long non-coding RNA. RefSeq lists it as uncharacterized. NCBI's taxonomy places the organism in Eukaryota, Metazoa, Mollusca, Gastropoda, Patellidae. The record is from RefSeq and is a predicted model, not a curated record. The transcript has 3 exons.
UUAAUUGCUGAAUAUAUGUCAUAUAAGACGGGGAAGAUGCACAGUGUGUAGAACUGAUCUCUGAUUAUUGACUAACUGGGUUCUAUAUUAGAAUAUCCUUAAAUUAAGUAGAAUAUGUUAAUUGUGGUUACUAUUCAUGGAAACUUGUGAGAAAUAUACGUGUUGUCAGUAGUCAAUUAAAUCUGCCAGUACUUGCACAGUGCGUUAGUAUUCCUAUAAAAUGGUCAGUAAUAAUGAUAAGGUGAGUAUUUAAGUUAAUCGGUAAGUAUUCCUCACUUAUGUGAGUAUGUAAAAAUAAUGGAGUAAUUAAACAUACGUGAGUUAAUCCGAACAUAUCGCUAGUCAGGCAUGUGUGGGAGAAACUGCCAAACCCGCGACUAAUGAAGAAAGCGUCACUAUUGAGGCUACUGUUCACUAUCUAUAUGAAACUGCCAGUUAUCUUUGAUCUGCGUUUGUAACUGGAACCAACGUCAGUAGAGCGUGAAAUCACUAACUAUAUAAAUUUCGGGUGAGUUUUUAAUAAGUGAUUAGUAUCGGUUAACCCUGUCAACUCAUCCCUUCUUAAAACUAAUAAGAUCGAUUUCCGGCGAUCGAUAAAUUCAUCACGUCAUAUCCGAAAAAGUAUUCAUAGUGAAGGAAUAUAAUUUAUAUCAUUCGAAAGCCACAAAAAUUCCCUUUGAAAUUAGACUAACGAGUGACUAUUCAACAUAGAAGUAGUCUGGAAUCUAGCAAAGAUGGAUAACUCUCUGAGCGUAAACAAAUGACGUUGUGUUAUUUAUAUAUAGCAGAAGUCCUAUUAUUUUGUGUACUUAUAGCCGUAAAAAUUUAGUUUAUUGUGUCUGAAAGAGAAAGUAUUAAACUAAGAAUAUAAGUGUUGUUAAGUUUUACAUUGAUUAGACACGUCUGAUCUUGAAUAUGUGAGCGAUGCCGAUGAAGUUCAAAGAGCAAAGAGGUGACCUAGAUUCGGCCGACAAAGAAUUUGUCAACAAGAGAAUCGAUCCCGAUUAGAUGAGCCUUCAACCUCAGCUGAAGAUACUACACGAUAAUGAUAGUUUUAGGCCUAAUGGUACUGAUACAAGCACUGAUUUGGAUGAGUUACUCAUUUUACUGAAUAUUAGCACAGAAGAAUGAAAGCAUGAACAGUGUAUAGACACAGAGCCCAAUAUACCAAAGUUUACUCCGAGACCUGGAGGGAACUGGAGUUUUGUGAGUUGGCAGUUGGCACAAUGGAACUUGAUCUGUU